Schistosoma rodhaini is the source of this 45-nucleotide non-coding RNA. Lineage: Eukaryota; Metazoa; Platyhelminthes; Trematoda; Strigeidida; Schistosomatidae. The record is from Rfam.
AUCCAGCGUACGAGUCCCAAAUAGGACGAAACGCGCGUCCUGGAU